Molecule: ribosomal RNA, 253 nt
Filed under: uncultured bacterium
Lineage: Bacteria
Description: partial 16S ribosomal RNA
Rfam family: Bacterial small subunit ribosomal RNA
Source: RNAcentral
UACAGAGGUCUCAAGCGUUGUUCGGAUUCAUUGGGCGUAAAGGGUGCGUAGGCGGCGCGGUAAGUCGGUUGUGAAAUCUCGGAGCUUAACUCCGAAACUGCAUUCGAUACUGCCGUGCUUGAGGACUGGAGAGGAGACUGGAAUUUACGGUGUAGCGGUGAAAUGCGUAGAUAUCGUAAGGAAGACCAGUGGCGAAGGCGGGUCUCUGGACAGUUCCUGACGCUGAGGCACGAAGGCCAGGGGAGCAAACGGG